UACCAGACUCCUACGGGAGGCAGCAGUGGGGAAUAUUGCACAAUGGGGGAAACCCUGAUGCAGCAACGCCGCGUGAGUGAAGAAGUAUUUCGGUAUGUAAAGCUCUAUCAGCAGGGAAGAAAAUGACGGUACCUGAGUAAGAAGCCCCGGCUAACUACGUGCCAGCAGCCGCGGUAAUACGUAGGGGGCAAGCGUUAUCCGGAUUUACUGGGUGUAAAGGGAGCGUAGACGGCGAUGCAAGUCUGAAGUGAAAGCCCGGGGCUCAACCCCGGGCAUGCAUUGGAAACUGGCGGGCUGGAGUGCCGGAGAGGUAAGCGGAAUUCCUAGUGUAGCGGUGAAAUGCGUAGAUAUUAGGAGGAACACCAGUGGCGAAGGCGGCUUACUGGACGGCAACUGACGCUGAGGCUCGAAAGCGUGGGGAGCAAACAGGAUUAGAUACCCCAGUAAA
Molecule: ribosomal RNA, 448 nt
Filed under: uncultured bacterium
Lineage: Bacteria
Description: partial 16S ribosomal RNA
Rfam family: Bacterial small subunit ribosomal RNA
Source: RNAcentral